GACGAACGCUGGCGGCGUGCCUAAUACAUGCAAGUAGAACGCUGAAGAGAGGAGCUUGCUCUUCUUGGAUGAGUUGCGAACGGGUGAGUAACGCGUAGGUAACCUGCCUGGUAGCGGGGGAUAACUAUUGGAAACGAUAGCUAAUACCGCAUAAAAUGGAUUAUCGCAUGAUAAUCCAUUGAAAGGUGCAAAUGCAUCACUACCAGAUGGACCUGCGUUGUAUUAGCUAGUUGGUGGGGUAACGGCUCACCAAGGCGACGGUACAUAGCCGGCCUGAGAGGGUGGACGGGCAAACUGGGAAUGAGACACGGCCCAGACUUCUAAGGGAGGCAGCAGUAGGGAAUCUUCGGCAAUGGACGGAAGGCUGAACGAGCAACGCCGGGGGAGGGAAGAAGGGUCUCGGAUCGGAAAGCUCUGUUGUAAGAGAAGAAAGAGUGUGAGAGUGGAAAGUUCACACUGUGACGGUAUCUAACCAGAAAGGGACGGCUAACUACGUG
This 497-nucleotide ribosomal RNA is filed under the name uncultured bacterium. RNAcentral's name for it is "partial 16S ribosomal RNA". It matches the Rfam family "Bacterial small subunit ribosomal RNA", at positions 28 to 507 of the family's 1533-position model. The record is from RNAcentral.